CCUCUCUCAGGGUCGCACUUGGAGAGUUUCCAGUGCUCACCAGUUUCGACUACGGAAGAGAGAGUCAAGCAGAGGCUUAUCCAUUCCAUUCCUAACUUGGGCAGUGGCUAGCGAGUGGAAGACAAUCUGCUACAAGC
Small nucleolar RNA from Tachyglossus aculeatus (Australian echidna), 137 nucleotides. NCBI's taxonomy places the organism in Eukaryota, Metazoa, Chordata, Mammalia, Monotremata, Tachyglossidae. The record is from RefSeq and is a predicted model, not a curated record.